RNAcentral lists this ribosomal RNA (490 nucleotides) under uncultured bacterium. RNAcentral's name for it is "bacterial SSU rRNA". It matches the Rfam family "Bacterial small subunit ribosomal RNA", at positions 29 to 520 of the family's 1533-position model. The record is from RNAcentral.
AACUAACGCUGGCGGCGUGCCUAACACAUGCAAGUCGUACGAGAAAGUUGGCUUCGGCCGAUGAGUAAAGUGGCGCACGGGUGAGUAAUGCGUGGAUAAUCUGCCCUUUAGUUGGGAAUAACGUACCGAAAGGUGCGCUAAUACCUGAUAAUACUGCAUAACUACUGUUGUGUAGUCAAAGAAGGCCUCUGUUUACAAGCUUUUGCUGAAGGAUGAGUCCGCGUACCAUUAGCUGGUUGGUGGGGUAAUGGCCUACCAAGGCUACGAUGGUUAGCUGGUCUGAGAGGAUGAUCAGCCACACUGGAACUGAGACACGGUCCAGACUCCUACGGGAGGCAGCAGUGGGGAAUAUUGCACAAUGGGGGAAACCCUGAUGCAGCGACGCCGCGUGAGGAUGACACAUUUCGGUGCGUAAACUCCUUUUAUAUAGGAAGAUAAUGACGGUACUAUAUGAAUAAGCACCGGCUAACUCCGUGCCCAGCAGCCGUAC